AAUGUCUGAUGUAGUUUAUUGUCCGAGAUGUGAAACAACCUGCAUAAAAUAUGAUGAGCAACACGCCCAAUGCUCCAAGUGCUUCUUCAGUUUCUGUGCUCUUUGCAAGGAAAAACGUCAUUUAGGCAUCGAAUGUAUGACUCCUGAAAUGAAGCUUAUUAUCUUGCAGGUAAUUUUAUAGACAAAUAUUUUUACUAGUUUUACAUGAAGUAAUAAAUUUUUACGUAGAAGUUCCAAUGAGUCAAUUGUUAUCCAAUGAACAAAGGUAUGACAUUCAUGAAAUCUUGUCUUUUUAAUUGUGAUUGAGAUUCUAAUAUUUUUUGUUUAUUCAUGAGUGUCUUUGUCCGAUAGUUUAUGGAAUUGAUUUGGUUAAGCACCUAGCGUAGCUAAGUAAAUAGCUGAACUUGGUUGUAUUUUCUAUUUAUAACCUAUGAUUGUUUUUUUGUUGUAUUCUCAGUUUGCAUCACCAAGUAACUAAGAUACCUUAUGUUGAGGACCAAAAAAAACAAUGCAUAGUAAAGAUACAAUCCAAGUUGUUUUUAUAGAUUAGUGUGGAUGCGAUGUGAUUGGUCAAUGUUAUAAGUCCAUAGCUUCUUAGAACGAAAAAGGAAUAUUAUAUAUAUUAAUUAAUGCAGAAAUGAAGAUAUUAAAUGGAAGAAUUAUAGUAUUACGUAUAAUGAUCAGAAUAAGUACGUAAUUAUAAUGUUCUACGUAUAGUUAAGAAUCUCUAGAUUGUUAAUAAAAUUAUUGUCAAAUCUAUUAUCUGCAGGAACGACAGAAUUCAUCUCAACUGACAGAAGAUCAAAAGCAGAAGGAGCGUGAAAUGAUAAAUGAGAUUCUGAGUGUCAAGGAAAUACUUAAAGAUGCAAAACAAUGCCCUACUUGUAAAAUGGCAAUCUCCAGGACUGAAGGUUGUAAUAAGAUGGUAUGUAACAAUUGUGGAAAGUACUUCUGCUACCGCUGUAACCGGGCCAUUGAUGGAUAUGAUCAUUUCAGGUUCGUGUUUACUAGAAAAAUUCCUAGAUCAU
This 1028-nucleotide long non-coding RNA is filed under the name Carica papaya (papaya). Its description in RNAcentral is "long non-coding RNA (CPAP_LNC007141)". The record is from RNAcentral. Lineage: Eukaryota; Viridiplantae; Streptophyta; Magnoliopsida; Brassicales; Caricaceae.